Long non-coding RNA from Hibiscus syriacus, 167 nucleotides. RefSeq lists it as uncharacterized. The record is from RefSeq and is a predicted model, not a curated record. The transcript has 3 exons. NCBI's taxonomy places the organism in Eukaryota, Viridiplantae, Streptophyta, Magnoliopsida, Malvales, Malvaceae.
AUACAUAUAUGUCUUCACUCCUUAUCAAUACACUUAUGUUGUUAUAUGAAGUCUCACCCUACUACAUGGUUAUUUCAUUUCUUUGCAAGCAACUUCUUUGGAAGCUCAUCGAAAGGGGUAGACUUUAGCAAGAAAAGACGGGUAGCUUGCUCUUGUAAUGUACCACC